AUGGAAGGCAUGGCUCAUGAACAAGGCCGGAAGACUAGCACUGGUCAAAUCGGUGCUCUCAGCCAUCCCGGUCCACCAAAUGCUUGCAUUUGCCCCACCCAAGAAGAUGCUCAAGCAGCUGGAAAAGAUCCAACGAGGCUUCCUAUGGGCUGGACGCGCAACAGCCAACGGUGGACACUGCCAUGUCAACUGGCGCAAUGUGUGCCGGCCGUUGGAGCACGGCGGCUUGGGGAUCCGGGACCUGGAGCGUGCCGGCCUAGCGCUGAGGCUGCGAUGGCUAUGGUACGCGCACACGGACGACGACCGCGCUUGGCAAGGGCUCGACCUCCAAUUCUCUAG
Molecule: ribosomal RNA, 339 nt
Filed under: Triticum aestivum (bread wheat)
Lineage: Eukaryota; Viridiplantae; Streptophyta; Magnoliopsida; Poales; Poaceae
Description: partial small subunit ribosomal RNA
Source: RNAcentral